This is a ribosomal RNA of Solanum stenotomum, 119 nucleotides long. The record is from RefSeq and is a predicted model, not a curated record. NCBI's taxonomy places the organism in Eukaryota, Viridiplantae, Streptophyta, Magnoliopsida, Solanales, Solanaceae.
GGAUACGAUCAUACCAGCAGUAACGCACCAGUUCCCAUUAGAACUCCGAAAUUAAGAGUGCUUGGGCGAGAGUAGUACUAGGAUGGAUGACCCCUUGGGAGGUCCUUGUGUUGCAUCCC